GAGCUUGGCGGUGUUUUAGACCUCUCAGGGGAACCUGUCUCAUAAUCGACAAUCCACGUUAAACCUAACCUUUGAUAGCAAUUCAGCCUGUAUACCGUUGUCGUAAGGUAACUUCUUAAAAUACAGUAGUUAGCUUGAAAAUUUUAUUAAUUAAAACGUCAAAUCAAGGUGCAGCUAAUAAAAAGGUGAAGAUGGGUUACAAUUACAUAUUUGUAAAUACGGAUAAACAUUUGAAAGAAUGCCUUAAAGGAGGACUUGAAAGUAAUUUUAAUUAUAUAAACAAAAUGAAUGAGGCUCUGAAACGUGCACACAUCGCCCGUCGCUCUCGUUGAAAAAUGAGAUAAGUCGUAACAUAGUAGGGGUAAUGGAAAUUGUUCCUAGGC
This 383-nucleotide ribosomal RNA is filed under the name Conus salreiensis. RNAcentral describes it as "partial 12S ribosomal RNA". It matches the Rfam family "Microsporidia small subunit ribosomal RNA", at positions 780 to 1304 of the family's 1311-position model. The record is from RNAcentral. Lineage: Eukaryota; Metazoa; Mollusca; Gastropoda; Neogastropoda; Conidae.